This 497-nucleotide ribosomal RNA is filed under the name uncultured bacterium. RNAcentral's name for it is "partial 16S ribosomal RNA". It matches the Rfam family "Bacterial small subunit ribosomal RNA", at positions 28 to 507 of the family's 1533-position model. The record is from RNAcentral.
GAUGAACGCUGGCGGCGUGCCUAAUACAUGCAAGUCGAGCGAACGGACGAGAAGCUUGCUUCUCUGAUGUUAGCGGCGGACGGGUGAGUAACACGUGGAUAACCUACCUAUAAGACUGGGAUAACUUCGGGAAACCGGAGCUAAUACCGGAUAAUAUUUUGAACCGCAUGGUUCAAAAGUGAAAGACGGUCUUGCUGUCACUUAUAGAUGGAUCCGCGCUGCAUUAGCUAGUUGGUAAGGUAACGGCUUACCAAGGCAACGAUGCAUAGCCGACCUGAGAGGGUGAUAGGCCACACUGGAACGGAGACACGGUCCAGACUCCUACGGGAGGCAGCAGUAGGGAAUCGUCCGCAAUGGGCGAAAGCCUGACGGAGCAACGCCGAGUGAGUGAUGAAGGUCUUCGGAUCGUAAAACUCUGUUAUUAGGGAAGAACAUAUGUGUAAGUAACUGUGCACAUCUUGACGGUACCUAAUCAGAAAGCCACGGCUAACUACGUG